UGCCCUCGGUAGUGUGCUGUGGCAUCACACGGCUCACAGCAACCUCCAGCUCUUGGGCUUAUGUGAUUCUCUUGCCUCAGCCUCCCGAGCAGCUGGGACUACAGGCGCCCGCCACAACGCCCGGCUGAGAAAGUUUCAUUUUUCUUACGAUACCAAGAAAUGAGUAAGGUUAAAAGGCAGUGGGAACUUGUUAAAGUUUAUAGCACAUGGUAGUAUUAUAUAUCUAGGAAACACCGUUUAUAAAUGAACUUUCUUAAGUCACAGGCGAGUGCACAGCACCAGGGAACAAUGGACUAUAAAGAGCCAGAGUUACUACCAGGAAGUAGUGCAGGGCCUCAGAAAAUCUUAAUCAGUAUUGUUUAUAGGAUUAUAAAUUCUAUCAAUUCUAGAAUAUUUACAAGUUCUGAAAAGAUAAAAUUUAACUUUUUUGACUUCAACUGAAAGUAAUAGAAAGCUAAGACUUUGAUACAAUAGACUUUUUUUUUUUUUCUUUCCCUUUAGAGAUGGUGUCUCCCUCUGUCACCCAGGCUGGAGUGCAGUGGCAAAAAUCAUACUCCCUUCUGCAGCCUCAAAUUCCUGGGCUCAGGUGAUCUUCCACCCUCAGCCUCCCUGGUUGCUGGGACUACAGCCAUGUGCCACUAGGCCUAAUUUUUUUUUUUUUUUUUUCCAGAAACAGGGACUCUCUAUAUUGCCCAGGCUGGUUUUGAACUCCUGGCUUCAAGCAAUCCUCAGAAGGAUUUUUAUUAAGAGUUUUAUCCCCUUGGAGAGUAUCUGGAAGGAAUGAAGGCAGACAGAAUGGGAGGAGAGAAGGAAAAGAGAAAGGAAGGGAAGGAGGGAAAGAAGGGAACCAUCCUGGACACCUUGAAGGAUCCUGCCAGGACCAGCACAGAGGGUGUGGGUCUCACUAUGUUAAUGAGGUUGAUUCGAACUCUGGGGCUUAGGAAAUCCUCCCACCUUAGCUACCUGAGUAGCUGGGACCACAGAUGUGAGCCACCACAUCCGACUGUUGUUUUUUUUUUUUUUUUUCUUCAUCAUGAUUCUCCUUUCCUUGCUUUUUGCCUUUUUUUUUUUUUUUUUUUUUUUGCAGUUUCUGGCCAGGGUUGGGUUUGAACCCACCACCUCCAGCAUAUGGGGCUGGCGCCCUACUCCUUUGAGCCACAGGUGCCACCACAUCCGACUGGUUUUAAUGUUUAUUACCAACUAUAUUCAAAAGAAAUCUAACCUGAGUAUAGUUUUCAGUCCCAGUACUCAACCAAAAUCCCAUUCUGUCUAGAACUAGCCAUGUUAGAAAAUUCCUGUUCAAGGAAUUAGGGUUAUUCUGGUCUUUGGGAAGUAAAGCAGACUUUAUUAUGUGACCUAAUACCCAGGAAAACCCAGAACUAGCUAUGAUAGGCAGAGUUCUAAGAUGGCCCUCCAAGAUUGCCAUCCUUGGGAUAUAUAUACUUUUUCUCAGUAUUAAUUGAACACAAAUCUAGAUAUUUCUGUGAAGGGAUUUUGGAAAUGUAACUGGGGUCUCAAAUCUGUUGUCUUUAAGAUAAAGAGAUUUCAUGGAUGGCUUUGACCUCAUCACACGAACCUUUAAAAGCAGGGAGUUUUCUCUGAACAGGGACCUACAACCACAAUGUAUCUACCAACACCAAGAAUCAUCUUAGAAAAGGACUUUCCCCAGAGCCUCCAGAUAAGAAUUCAGGCCAGCCAACACCUAGAUUUCAGCUGUGUGACACCCUGGGCAGUGGGGGCAGAUAUCCCACCCUGUUGUUGUUGUUGGACUUAUGCUCUACAGAAUUAGGACCCAAUAAACAACAAAUAGGUGUUACUGAAGCUACUAAAUGUGUGAUAAUUUGUUACACAACAAUAGAAAACAAAUAAACCAGCUGAAUAUGCUGCAAACUUUCCUGGAUUAAAUUUCUUCUAUACUAGCACAUCACUAGCAUUUGAGAGGGAACCUGCAAAACAUCAGAAAAGGCAGAGGAGCUAUUUUAUUCUCUUUACUUGCUACCUUAUCCUAACACCAGUGAAGGAGAGAUCACAUUCCUCCACCAACUGCAGCCACAAACCGUUAAUAUCUAUCAGUGAUUCCUGUAGUAACUCAAUAUAUUGGCUUUGAAGUUAACCCAAUCUGGAUCCAAAUCUUGGUCCAGACACUUUCUAACUGUAUAGUCUUGGGAAAAUACUUUAACUUCCAUUUCUUAAUCUGCAAAAAUCAGUUUGUCCAUGAAGAUUAAGUAAAAUUACAUAUAUAAUUACAUAUUAGGUACACAGUAAAUAUUAAUUUUCUUUCUUUACCAAAUAAAUUUUAACCCUUUCCUGGUCUACUUUCCUUUUUAAAAUUUUAUUGCUUUUCUGUUGUCUCAUGUGAUACCUUUUUAUAUGGUAGGAGAAAUAGUAUGCAUGCUGCAAACAAAUGAAAAAUGAAUACUUGGGGAAGAGUUUCCUAUCUACCGUGUAGCAUCAUUAUGAGGCUGAGGCAGGAGGACUGCUUGGGCCCAGGAGUUCAAGUUCAACCUUGGCAACACAGUAAGAUCCCGUCUGAAAUCAACAUGUUGGCUGCACUGAGUUCUCAUCUGGAGACUCCAGAGAAAAUCUGUUUCUUGGUUCACUCCUGGUACUGGCAGAUUUUAGUUCUUGUGGCUAUAGGACUGAGGUCCCUGUUCCAUGCUAUCAUCCAGGGGCCACCUCAACUCCUAGAGGCCACCCACAUUCCUUGUAACUUGGUCUCCUCCAUCUUCAAUACAACAAAGUAUGUCGAAUUAUCUCAAUUUUAAACAAAGAGAUAUUUUGUGAUAAUGAAUUAGGUCCUGGGCUGGAGAUUGGGAUGGGGUUGAAGACAGAAGUCACACACACACAUAUGCACAUCACCUAACACUUCUAGAGUGACUGUAUCCUCUUCCAGGUUUUGGCCUUGCUCAGAUGGGGCACUAACUUCACAACGAUAUUUUCCAGCAUCAUUUCUUGUAACAUUUCUGAUCCGAAUAUUGAAAUCUAUCAUCUCAGCUCGAUCUUUAAAAUCACCUUUUAGAAAAAGAAGAUACUGAUGUUAGUAAUAAUGCAAGUAACUUUCCAUGUAAUACUUUCCUCAACUCACUUUAUUUAGUAACCAAAGCAUUUUUUUUAUUAAAAAAAUCAAUUUUAAAAGCCUAA
This is a long non-coding RNA of Nycticebus coucang (slow loris), 3141 nucleotides long. RefSeq lists it as uncharacterized. The record is from RefSeq and is a predicted model, not a curated record. The transcript is spliced from 2 exons. Lineage: Eukaryota; Metazoa; Chordata; Mammalia; Primates; Lorisidae.